RNAcentral lists this ribosomal RNA (700 nucleotides) under bacterium. Its description in RNAcentral is "bacterial SSU rRNA". It matches the Rfam family "Bacterial small subunit ribosomal RNA", at positions 463 to 1153 of the family's 1533-position model. The record is from RNAcentral.
GCGAUAGUGACCGUUCCUGCAGAAGAAGCGCCGGCUAACUACGUGCCAGCAGCCGGGGUAAUACGUAGGGCGCGAGCGUUGUCCGGAAUUAUUGGGCGUAAAGAGCUCGUAGGCGGCUUGACACGUCGGUUGUGAAAGCCCGGGGCUUAACCCCGGGUCUGCAGUCGAUACGGGCCAGGCUAUAGUUCGGUAGGGGAGAUCGGAAUUCCUGGUGUAGCGGGUGAAAUGCGCAGAUAUCAGGAGGAACACCGGUGGCGAAGGCGGAUCUCUGGGCCGAUACUGACGCUGAGGAGAGAAAGCGUGGGGAGCGAACAGGAUUAAAUACCCUUGGUAGUCCACCCCGUAAACGGUGGGCACUAGGUGUGGGCGACAUUCCACGUCAUCCGUGCCGCAGCUAACGCAUUAAGUACCCCGCCUGGGGAGUACGCCCGCAAGGCUAAAACUCAAAGGAAUUGACGGGGGCCCGCACAAGCGGCGGAGCAUGUGGUUUAAUUAGACGCAACGUGAAGAACCUUACCAAGGCUUUACAUACACCGGAAAGCAUCAGAGAUGGUGCCCCCCUUGUGGUCGGUGUACAGGUGGUGCAUGGCUGUCGUCAGCUCGUGUCGUAAGAUGUUGGGUUAAGUCCCACAAUGAGCACAACCCUUGUCCCGUGUUGCCAGCAGGCCCUUGUGGUACUGGGGACUCACGGGAAACCGCC